Molecule: small RNA, 128 nt
Filed under: Arabidopsis thaliana (thale cress)
Lineage: Eukaryota; Viridiplantae; Streptophyta; Magnoliopsida; Brassicales; Brassicaceae
Description: ATSL249940
Source: RNAcentral
AUGGGCCUGCGUGCUUUUGUUGGCGUCAUGGACCUUGUAAUUGUUUGGGUUUAAUAGGAAAAAAGAGAGAAAGAAAAAAUGUGCUAAGACCAUCCUUAUUCAUGGGUUCUUAAUAAAAUUCUUAACAU